RNAcentral lists this ribosomal RNA (254 nucleotides) under uncultured bacterium. RNAcentral describes it as "partial 16S ribosomal RNA". It matches the Rfam family "Bacterial small subunit ribosomal RNA", at positions 524 to 776 of the family's 1533-position model. The record is from RNAcentral.
UACGGGGGGAGCAAGCGUUGUUCGGAUUUACUGGGCGUAAAGGGCGCGUAGGCGGUCAGCACAAGUCAGUUGUGAAAUCUCCGGGCUUAACUCGGAAAGGUCAACUGAUACUGUGCGACUAGAGUGCGGAAGGGGCAACUGGAAUUCUCGGUGUAGCGGUGAAAUGCGUAGAUAUCGGGAGGAACACCUGUGGCGAAAGCGGCGCACUGGACCACAACUGACGCUGAGGCGCGAAAGCUAGGGGAGCAAACAGG